RNAcentral lists this ribosomal RNA (274 nucleotides) under uncultured bacterium. Its description in RNAcentral is "partial 16S ribosomal RNA". It matches the Rfam family "Bacterial small subunit ribosomal RNA", at positions 523 to 796 of the family's 1533-position model. The record is from RNAcentral.
AUACGGAGGGGGCUAGCGUUGUUGGGAAUUACUGGGCGUAAAGCGCACGUAGGCGGAUUAAAAAGUUAGAGGAGAAAUCCCAGGGCUUAACCCUGGAACUGCCUUUAAAACUAGUAGUCUAGAGUUCGAGAGAGGUGAGUGGAAUUCCAAGUGUAGAGGUGAAAUUCGUAGAUAUUUGGAGGAACACCAGUGGCGAAGGCGGCUCACUGGCUCGAUACUGACGCUGAGGUGCGAAAGCGUGGGGAGCAAACAGGAUUAGAUACCCUAGUAGUCC